UUCCGGUUGAUCCUGCCGGACCUGACUGCUAUCGGAUCGAUACUAAGCCAUGCGAGUCAUGCGCUUUGUAGCAAUACAAGAACCCGGCAGACGGCUCAGUAACGCGUAGUCAAUCUACCCUAUGGACGGGGAUAACCUCGGGAAACUGAGAAUAAUACCCGACAGAACAUUAUGCCUGGAAUGGUUUAUGUUUUAAAUGAUUUUGGGAGUUAUCGCCGUAGGAUGGGACUGCGGCCUAUCAGUUUGUUGGUGAGGUAAUGGCCCACCAAGACUAUUACAGGUACGGGCUCUGAGAGGAGUGGCCCGGAGAUGGGUACUGAGACACGGACCCAGGCCCUAUGGGGCGCAGCAGGCGAGAAAACUUUGCAAUGUGCGAAAGCACGACAAGGUUAAUCCGAGUGGUUUCUGCUAAGGAAACCUUUUGUUAGUCCUAGAAACACUGAUGAAUAACGGGUGGGCAAGUUUGGUGUCAGCCGCCCCUGUAAAACCAGCACCUCAAGUGGUCAGGAUGAUUAUUGGGCCUAAAGCAUCCGUAGCUUUCUUUGUAAGUUCUCGGUUAAAUCCAUACGCUUAACGUGUGGGCUGCCGGUAAUACUGCAAAGCUAGGGAGUGGGAGGGGUAGACGGUACUCGGUAGGAAGGGGUAAAAUCCUUUGAUCUAUUGAUGACCACCUGUGGCGAAGGCGGUUUACCAGGAACACUUCCGACGGUGAGGGAUGAAAGCUGGGGGAGCAAACCGGAUUAGAUACCCGGGUAGUCCCAGCUGUAAACGAUGCGCGUUAGGUGUAUCGGUGAGCCCCGAGUCACCGAGUGCCGAAGGGAAACCGUGAAACGUGCCGCCUGGGAAGUACGGUCGCAAGGCUGAAACUUAAAGGAAUUGGCGGGAAGGGCGAAUUCG
This 897-nucleotide ribosomal RNA is filed under the name uncultured archaeon. RNAcentral describes it as "bacterial SSU rRNA". It matches the Rfam family "Archaeal small subunit ribosomal RNA", at positions 1 to 887 of the family's 1478-position model. The record is from RNAcentral.